RNAcentral lists this long non-coding RNA (482 nucleotides) under Rattus norvegicus (Norway rat). Its description in RNAcentral is "long non-coding RNA NONRATT028133". Lineage: Eukaryota; Metazoa; Chordata; Mammalia; Rodentia; Muridae. The record is from RNAcentral.
AGGGUCUCUUGAUUAAGCCCGAGUUGUCCUGAAAUUCUCUGUGCUGACAAGGCCGGCUUUGACUUGGGUCCAGUAUUAGAGCAACAGUGACUCUUGGCCACUGAUGUGCAUUUCUAGCUUCAGAACCCAUGACUUUUUAUGAUUCUUCAGUGUGAUCCCCACAAUGGCCUCGGGGACCUAUACCAAGACCAUUCUCACGAUGUGACUUCUGUAAACCAUAAAGCAGCCACUGUGUUUUACAAUCUGCUUCCUUUCGUCCUCCCUUCUCCCUUCAGAGAGCCACUUUAGCACCACGACUAGAAGGACAGGAACAACCAGAGCCUCAUCAAAUCCAGCAGAGAGAUGGGACCACAUCACCACUACUACAACGAGAAGGCCAGGAACAACUAGAGCACCGUCAAAUCCUAUGGAACUUGAUGGGUUUGACUUGGAAGAUGCCUUGUAUGAUCAGAAAAAAAGCCAAGUACAGGAGAAGGAGGAGG